CCUACGGGUGGCAGCAGUGGGGAAUAUUGGGCAAUGGGCGCAAGCCUGACACAGCAACGCCGCGGGAAGGAAGAAGGCUUUCGAGUUGUAAACUUCUUUGAAGGGGGAAGAGCAGAAGACGGUACCCCUUGAAUAAGCCACGGCUAACUACGUGCCAGCAGCCGCGGUAAUACGUAGGUGGCAAGCGUUGUCCGGAUUUACUGGGUGUAAAGGGCGUGCAGCCGGAGAGACAAGUCAGAUGUGAAAUCCACGGGCUCAACCCGUGAACUGCAUUUGAAACUGUUUCCCUUGAGUGUCGGAGAGGUAAUCGGAAUUCCUUGUGUAGCGGUGAAAUGCGUAGAUAUAAGGAAGAACACCAGUGGCGAAGGCGGAUUACUGGACGAUAACUGACGGUGAGGCGCGAAAGCGUGGGGAGCAAACAGGAUUAGAUACCCCAGUAGUC
RNAcentral lists this ribosomal RNA (442 nucleotides) under uncultured bacterium. Its description in RNAcentral is "partial 16S ribosomal RNA". It matches the Rfam family "Bacterial small subunit ribosomal RNA", at positions 338 to 795 of the family's 1533-position model. The record is from RNAcentral.